GACUGGGAGUCUUCGUGGUCGGAUUCCCCACCCUUCCUUACCUCGUAAACCGACAGACCUGGGUUUCGCCGCUGCUCCUGUUCCUCGAGCAGCCUUCAAGCAGUGGAAAUUACGGAGAAAUGAACAUUCUGAAAGCGCCUAGUAAAUGGUAAAGGCCUGGCUACUGCAGGAAGAAAAGGGCAAGGCAGGCAUCUCCAGAGCACAGCCUCGGGCGUGGUGAGAGGCGCGCGCUGGGCGCUGUGUGGGGGUGGGGAGCGCUUUUGUGCACCGCUGGUUCCUCCGCAGGCUCAGGUGUGUGCGGACAGGUGUCGCCACCUCCUUCCAGACCGUCUGCCCCUUGGGG
RNAcentral lists this long non-coding RNA (343 nucleotides) under Homo sapiens (human). Its description in RNAcentral is "non-protein coding lnc-STX8-1:6". The record is from RNAcentral. Lineage: Eukaryota; Metazoa; Chordata; Mammalia; Primates; Hominidae.